This 532-nucleotide ribosomal RNA is filed under the name uncultured fungus. Its description in RNAcentral is "SSU rRNA". It matches the Rfam family "Eukaryotic small subunit ribosomal RNA", at positions 109 to 644 of the family's 1831-position model. Lineage: Eukaryota; Fungi. The record is from RNAcentral.
GUUAUCGUUUAUUUGAUAGUACCUUACUACUUGGAUAACCGUGGUAAUUCUAGAGCUAAUACAUGCUGAAAACCCCAACUUCGGGAGGGGUGUAUUUAUUAGAUAAAAAACCAACGCCCUUCGGGGCUUCUUGGUGAUUCAUGAUAACUUCACGGAUCGCAUGGCCUUGCGCCGGCGACGGUUCAUUCAAAUUUCUGCCCUAUCAACUUUCGAUGGUAAGGUAUUGGCUUACCAUGGUUUCAACGGGUAACGGGGAAUUAGGGUUCGAUUCCGGAGAGGGAGCCUGAGAAACGGCUACCACAUCCAAGGAAGGCAGCAGGCGCGCAAAUUACCCAAUCCCGACACGGGGAGGCAGUGACAAUAAAUACUGAUACAGGGCUCUUUUGGGUCUUGUAAUUGGAAUGAGUACAAUUUAAACCUCUUAACGAGGAACAAUUGGAGGGCAAGUCUGGUGCCAGCAGCCGCGGUAAUUCCAGCUCCAAUAGCGUAUAUUAAAGUUGCUGCAGUUAAAAAGCUCGUAGUUGAAACUUGG